UGGAAUCAAGGCUCAGUCGUACA
RNAcentral lists this non-coding RNA (23 nucleotides) under Cricetulus griseus (Chinese hamster). Lineage: Eukaryota; Metazoa; Chordata; Mammalia; Rodentia; Cricetidae. The record is from RNAcentral.